UCGAGAAUUUUUCUCAAUGGGGGAAACCCUGAAGGAGCGACGCCGCGUGGAGGAUGAAGGUCUUCGGAUUGUAAACUCCUGUCAUUAGGGAACAAGGUGCGUCUAUUAACUGUGGGCGUAUUGAUAGUACCUGAAGAGGAAGAGACGGCUAACUCUGUGCCAGCAGCCGCGGUAAUACAGAGGUCUCAAGCGUUGUUCGGAUUCAUUGGGCGUAAAGGGUGCGUAGGCGGCGAGGCAAGUCAGGUGUGAAAUCUCGGGGCUCAACUCCGAAACUGCACUUGAUACUGCCUUGCUAGAGUACUGGAGAGGAGAUUGGAAUUUACGGUGUAGCAGUGAAAUGCGUAGAUAUCGUAAGGAAGACCAGUGGCGAAGGCGAAUCUCUGGACAGUUACUGACGCUGAGGCACGAAGGCCAGGGGAGCAAACG
Molecule: ribosomal RNA, 426 nt
Filed under: uncultured Chthoniobacter sp.
Lineage: Bacteria; Pseudomonadati; Verrucomicrobiota; Spartobacteria; Chthoniobacterales; Chthoniobacteraceae
Description: bacterial SSU rRNA
Rfam family: Bacterial small subunit ribosomal RNA
Source: RNAcentral